Equus caballus (horse) is the source of this 2035-nucleotide long non-coding RNA. The record is from Ensembl. NCBI's taxonomy places the organism in Eukaryota, Metazoa, Chordata, Mammalia, Perissodactyla, Equidae.
UUGCUCCAGAAUGUUUGCCUGGUGUUUUUCAUUUGGAACCUUCAUGCAUCAGAACCCUGACUACACACUCCAUGUCUAAUUCAUCUUCACCCAUAUAUUUUACCAUUACGGAUAGCCUUCCCCUUAAGCUUGUCUAUUUACUAGCUGGUGUGACAAAUGACAGCAACUCUGAGCCAUGUUAGAUGGUAUUUGUAUGGCUCUGAUGCCAGAAGCAUUCUAAGCGCCGGUGUUGCAUAUUUAUUGAUCUCCAUAUUCCCAAUAAUCUGAUGCCCGUCACAUUUGACAACAUUAUGUGGAGAGGUCAGCUAGAUGGGGCUAAUGAAACUGUUUCCAAGAUGGAUGUUGUUUUCCACAACAUUACCCUUGCAAAUAGCUGUCAGUGGGGCAUUUCACUGUCGGGCCAGGCAUUUGAGGACCUUUUUUUUUUUUUUUUAAAUAGUUGACGUUAACAUUAAACAAAACCUGAAGCUAUUAAAUCUUAGUAUUUAUAUACAAUAGAAAACAUGGACGCCCUGGCAUCUUUCCAAAUGAAAAUCUUAUUAACGGACAUGGCGCUUGUGGCAAAGUCCUCAGCAAUUGGAGGUUGGCUUGGCUGUCUAAAAUGUUUGACGGAUUAGCCCAAGAUGAUGUAAAGGACCAAAUGGGAAAUGGCUGAAGUCUGGAGGAUUAAACCGGCAAAUAGAAAGGCUUGCUGUAGUCUGGAGGCAUGCAGCACUUUCUGACUGUGUUUCCAGGCUUCCACGCUGCUGUGAGCAGCUGGCACAAAAUGCACUCCAAUUUAGAUAAAGCUUUACAGGAAAAAAGAAAGAAAGCCUACGAAACAGUAUUUGCAAAGAGGAUCCCAUUUAAUGAAAUGCUGCACGUGAAUUAAUAACAUUGGAAGUACAUUGGGAGCAGCAAUGAAAAUAUUAAAGACAGGUUUCCCACACCUGAAUUGAGCCCUUUGAAAGCCCUGCAAAGGGACAUUUAGAGACUUCCCACUGUCUGUCCUGAGAGUUACCAUGUUGGGUAGCGAUCCUGACAGCUCUUCUAAUGAGUCCAUCUUGGUUUAAUUCCAGGUGGAUACGUAUUGGUUAAAAAUUCAUUGAGUAGUUGUAAGCACCUAUGUGCCAAUGUGAUUUUUGAGAAACUUAUUGCCUAUCUUGGUAGGGCCACUGAGAAUUUUGGGUUCUUUAAGAAAAGCAUAGUACAACUUUAGUUUGAGAUGCAAGAUUUUACAAAGGCAGGUAUAUUUAAUGGGUUUCUUCAUGACAAUGUUCCUCUCUCAUCUCUAUCCCAGAGCAGACACAAACAAGGAUAUAUAAUGGAAUUAAUAACUUGGCUACUGGCUCAUCCAGAACUUUCUCAACAAUGAAUUCAUUUACCCAGUGCUAGCAUUUAGGAACAUUAAUUCACCACAUCGCUUACAGUCACAGAAAUUGAAGAACUUCUCAACUUGUUUAUUUUGUAGGGUUGAAGGAAGGAUGCCAGAGAAGAGAUGAUUAACUAUUGUGCCUUUUCUUUAGUGGAUCUCAGUACUUCUUUCCAUCAUGCCCUUUUUCAGGUUAUGCCUUUUGAAUUGUGUUGAAUGAAGAGGUGGAAAAGAAUUGACAAGUUCAAGAGCAGGGAAGUUCAUUGCUAGGCAGAUGCUCAUGUUCUUUUCAGAUGGAAAACUUGCUUCUCCUUCAUCCCCCCUCCUCCACUCUCAGCGAACAUGUGUACCGUUAAGAAAGCAUGUUCUCUCUUUGCUGAAACUCUAAAAAUGUGGAUGAGUCAUUUGAUUUCUCUGGCCUCAAUUUUCUCAUCUCCAAAAUCAUGUCAUUAACCUUGCUGGCCUCAGAGACGCCUGGCUGCUCCUCACAUUCUAUGAUUAUAGGGCAUAAACGUUUCCAAGUUCCUAAAUGUCUUUCCCUUAAGAAACGUGUGCAAAGACCUCUCCGGUCUUUGUGGUCAAAUGUAAAUUCCUCUUCUUUUCCUGAGUUUGAAUUCCUCCUCAACUGAAAAACUGAUUUGAAACAAAGUCUUGUGUGUAUUAUAGGCAUGGCUUCUGGAGCUG